AGAGGGGCGGCUCCUGGAACUUCCCCCUCUGAAGCGUCGGUCGCAUCGAGCAGCCCUUCUUCCUCCACUUUAAAACCUUUCCCCUGAUUUACUCGUUUUAUAAACACUUUAACCUUAGUUUCUUCUUGUAUUUAUACUUUUACAACUUUUUUUAUCGUAUGGACGCAUUUUAAUCCUGGAGUAGAUAAGGUAAGAAAAGGCCGUGCCCUUCCUCCUGAACUCUCGCUUCCUGCCUCUUCGGCCUGUCCACUUCCGGGUCGUUGCCCUCGCCGCUCACCUCAGAGCACAGAUCUGCCGAGGUCCUCAUCGCAAUCGGGGCAAUGUAUUGGGGUCGUUUACCGCCGCUGACCAGAGCAUAGAGCUGAAGGCCGACGGUGGUGGCGGUGGUCCUCCUGGGUGGUGGUGGUGAUCCCUUGUGUGCGUGUGCUUUGUUUUAGAUUUUAUUAGUUUGGACUUCACGUUUUUGCUGUGUGUGUGCGGUGCCCUUGUUUCUUUUGUUGGAUUUAAUUUCCCCCUGACGACCACUCUCCCAGCCGGUAAGCCUCAGCUUGUACCCACUUCCUUCCCCAGUUGGGCUUACUUCUCUUUUUCCUCUUUUUGUGCCAAACUGUUCAUAAUAAUAAAAUGCUUUGUUAUUUUUGAACUCUGUCUCCCGCCCUCCCUGAUUGAACGAACCUGAGUGUCUUAUCGUCAGAGGUGACAAUCAUAAUCACAGUGUAUAGGUCCUUGGGCCCUAACCCAAGGUGGCGUUGUCGGUAACAUAGAGAAGAUACUCUGACAUAAAUUGUAAAGCCUCCUCGUGUCGCCACAUAUAUAUAUAUAUAUGGCCUACUUUACAGUUGGCUCAGUUUGAUCCUUGUGUGUGUGUGUGUGUGUGUGUGUGUGUGUGUGUGUGUGUGUGUGUGUGUGUGUGUGUGUGUGUGUGUGUGUGUGUGUGUGUGUGUGUCAAGUCGGUUCAGUUCUGUAACUUCCUCGUGUUAAAGUUGAUUUCCUCAUCUCAACGGCCUGUUGCAGCAAGCAGCCCUUCUUUCUGCUCCUUCAAAACCGUUCACCUUAACAACUUGUUUAACACUUUAACCUCCUUUUCUUCCCUUACAUUUAUACUUUCAUAACUUUAUAGCGUAUGGGACGGAACGUAUUUUCCCCAGUCUACUAUGGAUGAGGAGAGAGAGGAGGGGGUUCCUACCUCUAAGACCACUCUGUCUGGGGAACAUGGCCACCGGAGAAAAGCUAAGAGGCCAGAGCAGCAGGAGAGAGCAGAAUCCCCUGGACCCAGCCGUGUCUCCAUGAAGAGCAUACGUAACCUGUUUAGAAAAAAGGAGCAAAUUCAUGAACAAGGAAGACUCCAGAAGCAGAGAGCAGACACCCCUGGACCCAGCUGUGUCUCCACGAAGAGUUACUGGUCUAUGGAACAACGUCAUAACUUUAAAGAUGGAAAUCACCAACCUUCUAAGCAAAGACAACACCAGGGGUGGUCAAAGGUUACCAGUGCUCAGUCUGUACACCAGCAUCAAACA
Molecule: long non-coding RNA, 1517 nt
Organism: Gadus morhua (Atlantic cod)
Lineage: Eukaryota; Metazoa; Chordata; Actinopteri; Gadiformes; Gadidae
Exons: 7
Source: RefSeq, a predicted model, not a curated record